UCUAAGAAAUUUUAGGUACCCUCGCUCUAAAAUUUAAUAUAGUUACUCUCUAAAAUUUUAAUAUGUUUUCUCUCUCUAAAACUUAAAUUUUUAAGUAGUUUCUCUUCCUAAAAUUUUUAGAUAGUUUCUCUCUCUAAAUUAUCAGGUAGUUUCUCUCUUUAAAAUUUUAAUAUACUUUCUCUCUCUAAAACUUAAAAUUUGAGAUAGCUUUUCUAUCUAAAAUUUUUCAAAUAAUUUCUCUAUCUAAAAA
RNAcentral lists this long non-coding RNA (250 nucleotides) under Amborella trichopoda. Its description in RNAcentral is "long non-coding RNA (ATRI_LNC000881)". Lineage: Eukaryota; Viridiplantae; Streptophyta; Magnoliopsida; Amborellales; Amborellaceae. The record is from RNAcentral.